GGGGACCCGCAAGCGGUGGAUGAUGUGGAUUAAUUCGAUGCAACGCGAAAAACCUUACCUACCCUUGACAUGUACGGAAGCCUGGAGAGAUCCGGGUGUGCUCGAAAGAGAGCCGUAACACAGGUGCUGCAUGGCUGUCGUCAGCUCGUGUCGUGAGAUGUUGGGUUAAGUCCCGCAACGAGCGCAACCCUUGUCAUUAGUUGCUACAUUCAGUUGAGCACUCUAAUGAGACUGCCGGUGACAAGCCGGAGGAAGGUGGGGAUGACGUCAAGUCCUCAUGGCCCUUAUGGGUAGGGCUUCACACGUCAUACAAUGGUACAUACAGAGGGCCGCCAACCCGCGAGGGGGAGCUAAUCCCAGAAAGUGUAUCGUAGUCCGGAUCGCAGUCUGCAACUCGACUGCGUGAAGUUGGAAUCGCUAGUAAUCGCGGAUCAGCAUGUCGCGGUGAAUACGUUCCCGGGUCUUGUACACACC
This 474-nucleotide ribosomal RNA is filed under the name uncultured bacterium. RNAcentral's name for it is "bacterial SSU rRNA". It matches the Rfam family "Bacterial small subunit ribosomal RNA", at positions 915 to 1391 of the family's 1533-position model. The record is from RNAcentral.